UCGAGAAUUUUUCACAAUGGGGGAAACCCUGAUGGAGCGACGCCGCGUGGGGGAUGAAUGGCUUCGGCCCGUAAACCCCUGUCAUUCGCGAACAAAUUGGUUCACUUAAUACCUGAACCAUUGAUAGUAGCGGAAGAGGAAGGGACGGCUAACUCUGUGCCAGCAGCCGCGGUAAUACAGAGGUCCCAAGCGUUGUUCGGAUUCACUGGGCGUAAAGGGUGCGUAGGCGGUCGGGUAAGUCUGAUGUGAAAUCUCACAGCUUAACUGUGAAACUGCAUUGGAUACUAUUCGGCUUGAGAGUUGGAGGGGGGACUGGAAUUCUUGGUGUAGCAGUGAAAUGCGUAGAUAUCAAGAGGAACACCAGUGGCGAAGGCGAGUCCCUGGACAACUUCUGACGCUGAGGCACGAAAGCUAGGGGAGCAAACAGGAUUAGAUACCCCCGUAGUCC
This 448-nucleotide ribosomal RNA is filed under the name uncultured bacterium. RNAcentral's name for it is "bacterial SSU rRNA". It matches the Rfam family "Bacterial small subunit ribosomal RNA", at positions 355 to 796 of the family's 1533-position model. The record is from RNAcentral.